RNAcentral lists this ribosomal RNA (402 nucleotides) under uncultured bacterium. RNAcentral describes it as "bacterial SSU rRNA". It matches the Rfam family "Bacterial small subunit ribosomal RNA", at positions 355 to 774 of the family's 1533-position model. The record is from RNAcentral.
UGGGGAAUAUUGGACAAUGGGCGCAAGCCUGAUCCAGCCAUGCCGCGUGAGUGAUGAAGGCCUUAGGGUUGUAAAGCUCUUUUAGCAGGGAAGAUAAUGACGGUACCUGCAGAAAAAGCCCCGGCUAACUUCGUGCCAGCAGCCGCGGUAAUACGGAGGGGGCUAGCGUUGCUCGGAAUUACUGGGCGCAAAGCGCACGUAGGCGGACUCUUAAGUCGGUGGUGAAAUCCUGCAGCUUAACUGCAGAAUUGCCAUUGAUACUGUUAGUCCUGAGUACAGUUGAGGUAGGCGGAAUGUGUCAUGUAGCGGUGAAAUGCUUAGAUAUGACACAGAACACCGAUUGCGAAGGCAGCUUGCUAAGCUGUAACUGACGCUGAGGCACGAAAGCGUGGGUAGCGAACA